RNAcentral lists this ribosomal RNA (468 nucleotides) under uncultured bacterium. RNAcentral describes it as "partial 16S ribosomal RNA". It matches the Rfam family "Bacterial small subunit ribosomal RNA", at positions 28 to 507 of the family's 1533-position model. The record is from RNAcentral.
GACGAACGCUGGCGGCGUGCUUAACACAUGCAAGUCGAACGGAAAGGCCCUGCUUUUGUGGGGUGCUCGAGUGGCGAACGGGUGAGUAACACGUGAGUAACCUGCCCUUGACUUUGGGAUAACUUCAGGAAACUGGGGCUAAUACCGGAUAGGAGCUCCUGCUGCAUGGUGGGGGUUGGAAAGUUUCGGCGGUUGGGGAUGGACUCGCGGCUUAUCGGCUUGUUGGUGGGGUAGUGGCCUACCAAGGCUUUGACGGGUAGCCGGCCUGAGAGGGUGACCGGCCACAUUGGGACUGAGAUACGGCCCAGACUCCUACGGGAGGCAGCAGUGGGGAAUAUUGCACAAUGGGCGGAAGCCUGAUGCAGCAACGCCGCGUGCGGGAUGACGGCCUUCGGGUUGUAAACCGCUUUCGCCUGUGACGAAGCGUGAGUGACGGUAAUGGGUAAAGAAGCACCGGCUAACUACGUG